Long non-coding RNA from Oncorhynchus tshawytscha (Chinook salmon), 2826 nucleotides. The record is from Ensembl. Lineage: Eukaryota; Metazoa; Chordata; Actinopteri; Salmoniformes; Salmonidae.
GGGGGUGUAAAAUUGUAAGAAAAUUGUCUAAUUUGAUUAACUUUGUUUCUACUUCCUAUUUUCAGUUGUUUUGGGGAAAUAUAAAUCCUGUAAAUGCAAAAUAGUAAAUACUGUAUCAAAUAUGUGCACUUUGAAGUGUGUGCUUUGCUUGUACAAUUGUAAAUAAUCUGAAAAAUAGAGGUACCUUAAAAUGAUUUAAAAAAAUAUAUAUUGAUCUUGUUGAAAUAUUAAUGUCGCUUUUUGAGCUGGAUGUAGGAUAAAAACUAAAUGUUUUGAUUUUGAAUAUUUUUUUUUCUAUUCUGUUGUGCAGAAUUGCUUCUCCCUCACUUUGGGACAGGGAAGGUUGUCUGAUUGUAACUUUUUAAAAGUCAUUCUCAUUCCAUGUCCUUGUGUUUUUCAACCCCUGGUAGACAAUGUUUUCUGUUGGCCAACCUCUUCACUGUGCACAGUGAGAAAAGGGAAGAACCUAUCUGUCGUACAAACACACAUCCUUAAAUGAAAGCACAGUCGGUACUAUUAUCUGACAGACUGUGCUUAUAGCAGUCUGUGUGAUUUAGCCCAUACAAGAAUUCUUUAUCACAGUAAAGCACAUUUUUAAGCACAGGAACAUCAAAUCUUUCUCACACAACCAAUUUCAAGUCCAUAGCAGCAUACUGUAUAAUUGUACCAGACAUAAACCUUUCAUGUUUGGAGUGAAGGUGAUUUAAGCAGUGUUGAUAUUCUGUUUAGUUUUUUCUUUUUGAAGGUUUGUCUUUCAUGAAGUUGUACGUCAUCUGAACUUUCGUGGCCCCCAGCACUAAACUUGACAAAUCAAAAUUCCUUUGGUAGGCUUUACCAGUGUUUAGACUCAAAUAUAAUAGUGUAGAUAUUUGUACACAUUUCAGCAAGAAAAUUAGUUUUCUGGCACAUACUGUAUAACAUACUGUGCAUUGUCUUUUUAUCAGUUGAUCACACGUGGGCUGCAUUUCUGUGCCAUUAAUUUGUUUCAACCUGGCAGUUUGUUUGACUUGUACUUUAAUUAAACACUUGACAUUAUAAUUGUUACUGAGGAAGUGUAGCUGGUCUUGAAACUAUAUAACUGGGAAUAAUAAUCUGAUACCACUGACAUUAGACAAAGUACUCAUAGCAACCCGCAUCUGAUCUGGCUAAUGAAGUCUAGGUAUGUACAUUUUGAGCUAGUCUAUGCUAGUAGGCCUUUCUAAUGCAAAAUGCUAAUACUGUUGUCUUUGCAGAUUGGGUAUUGAUAUAUUAUCUGGCUGGCACUGAGUUUGUAUGAGAAAGUGUUUGUUUGUGAGAAGUUAACCAAACACAACUGCAAAAUUGACUGACGGUUGAAGUAAAGUAAACCAAAGGGUGAUUAGCCAGCCAGGUUUGUGCAGCAUGAUCUGAAAAUGAUUCUGUUAUUGGUUUCUUUCUCCUGAAGAUGAUUGCACUGCUUACAGUACGAAAGUGUUUAACUUUUUCUUCUUUUGCGCGCACUACUAAAGCCCUGUUGUAAUGUUUGGCUGUUCUUGUGUUACUGUGCACAGACAGUCUCAUAUCAAGCGGUCUCGUUCUCCCUGCCCAGUUCGCUUCUUUCUGUUACGUCUCACCAGUUUGAUAGUGCCAUGUAUUUUUUGCAAAGGUUGCAGCUUGUUGUAAAUUGACUGUAAAGUGAUGUUACAAUGCACCAACUGACUGGAAUGAGAUGAACCAAUUGUCUCACUAUCAAAUCACUGUGUUAAAUUAACUCAUUUUUACGCUAACAGCAGUGGACAAUCGAUGACUUGAUGGGGAGAAUAACCUAACGGUAACAGUUGUUCAUCGAGGUUUCUUUGAGAGGGCUUUUGAUUUGUCUUAACUUUUCUUCCAUUUAAGACUGGAAUCAAGCGUACAUGUCAACUGUUGAUCAUUUAAGUUACUCUUGUGUCAUGAUGUAAAACUGUCUAAUUUGGAGAGAAAAAAAUGUAGCUUAUUGAAAAAUAAAGAUUUAGGCACUGUUAAUGAGUUGUCUCGUGAUUGUGGUACACACAAUCUGGGGGUUGGUCCAGAAAGCAGGAUGAAUGAGUGAGUUAUCCAGCUAACUGUCCUAAAUAUUGUGUACAAAACAUUAGGGCAUUGACACCAGGUGUCUUUCCAUUACAUAGACUGACCAGGUGAAUCUAGGUGAUGGCUAUGAUCCCUUGAUGUCACUUAAAUCCACUUCAAUCACUGUAUGAAGGGGAGUUGAUGGAUUUAAGUCUUGAGACAUGGAUUGUGUAUGUGUGCCAUUCAAAGGGUGAAUGGGCAAGACAAAAUACUGAAGUGCCUUCUGAACGGGGUAUGGUAGCAGGUGCCAGGUGCACCGGUUAGUGUAUCAAGAGCUGCAAUGCUGCAGUGUAUCAAGAAUGGUCCACCACACAAAGGACAUCCAGCCAACUUGACACAACUGUGGGAAGCAUUGGAGUCAACAUGGGCCAGCAUCCCUAUGGAACACUUUCGACACCUUGUAGAGUCCAUACCCUGAGGAAUUGAGGCUGUUCUGAGUGCUAAAGGGGGUGCAACUCAAUAUUUGGAAGUGCUCCUAAUAUUUUGUGUACUGGGUAGACUUGAAAUGGUAUAAUUGACUCAACAACCCAUAUCAAAGUUUAAUAUUUCUAAAUGAACCAGAAAAUAAAGGCAUGACUGUCAGCUUCUUAGCUGGCUAAAUGAAUCCUGCUUUCUGGGACACCCCACAGCUUCUCUCCUAUUUAUUUUCUAAUGCUAGAUUUGCUUUCUCGCAAAAAUUGCCUGGAAUCCUGUGUUCUACCAGGGUUGGUUGUUUUUGGCCAUCCUAUUCAAACUGCACAUGUUAUAAUGCCAUGAGCC